UACGAAGGGGGCUAGCGUUGUUCGGAAUUACUGGGCGUAAAGGGUGCGUAGGCGGUUCGAUAAGUCAGAUGUGAAAGCCCUGGGCUCAACCCGGGAACUGCGUUUGAGACUGUCGAGCUUGAAUUCGGUAGAGGUGAGUGGAAUUCCCAGUGUAGAGGUGAAAUUCGUAGAUAUUGGGAAGAACACCGGUGGCGAAGGCGGCUCACUGGACCGACAUUGACGCUGAGGCACGAAAGCGUGGGGAGCAAACAGG
This 253-nucleotide ribosomal RNA is filed under the name uncultured Dongia sp. RNAcentral's name for it is "partial 16S ribosomal RNA". It matches the Rfam family "Bacterial small subunit ribosomal RNA", at positions 524 to 776 of the family's 1533-position model. The record is from RNAcentral. Lineage: Bacteria; Pseudomonadati; Pseudomonadota; Alphaproteobacteria; Rhodospirillales; Dongiaceae.